Molecule: ribosomal RNA, 253 nt
Filed under: uncultured bacterium
Lineage: Bacteria
Description: partial 16S ribosomal RNA
Rfam family: Bacterial small subunit ribosomal RNA
Source: RNAcentral
UACGGAGGGAGCUAGCGUUGUUCGGAAUUACUGGGCGUAAAGCGCACGUAGGCGGCUUUGUAAGUUAGAGGUGAAAGCCCGGGGCUCAACCCCGGAAUUGCCUUUAAGACUGCAUCGCUUGAAUCCGGAAGAGGUGAGUGGAAUUCCGAGUGUAGAGGUGAAAUUCGUAGAUAUUCGGAAGAACACCAGUGGCGAAGGCGGCUCACUGGACCGGUAUUGACGCUGAGGUGCGAAAGCGUGGGGAGCAAACAGG